Molecule: ribosomal RNA, 440 nt
Filed under: uncultured bacterium
Lineage: Bacteria
Description: partial 16S ribosomal RNA
Rfam family: Bacterial small subunit ribosomal RNA
Source: RNAcentral
CCUACGGGAGGCAGCAGUGGGGGAUAUUGCACAAUGGGGGAAACCCUGAUGCAGCGACGCCGCGUGGGUGAAGAAGCGCCUCGGCGCGUAAAGCCCUGUCAGCAGGGAAGAAAAUGGCGGUACCUGAAGAAGAAGCCCCGGCUAACUACGUGCCAGCAGCCGCGGUAAUACGUAGGGGGCAAGCGUUAUCCGGAUUUACGGGGUGUAAAGGGGGCGCAGACGGCGAUGCAAGCCAGGAGUGAAAGCCCGGGGCCCAACCCCGGGACUGCACUUGGAACUGCGUGGCUAGAGUGCAGGAGGGGUAGGCGGAAUUCCUGGUGUAGCGGUGAAAUGCGUAGAUAUCAGGAGGAACACCGGUUGCGAAGGCGGCCUGCUGGACUGCAACUGACGUUGAGGCUCGAAAGCGUGGGGAGCAAACAGGAUUAGAUACCCGAGUAGUC